UCCAAUACAGUCAAAGACAGAGUCACCAUAGUGCUCUGAGAAUAUGGUCCUUACCAAAAGACCUUAGUUACGUGAUUGUUAUCCGCAAUCCAUUCAUCAAUUGGUGCUGUCUCACUUAAUUUUGUCGCUACAUUUCUGUUUUAUCUUUUGUUAAUAUUGACCACUUUAAUAUUCUUUCAUGGGGUUGAUCCCGCUGCAGGGGGUUGGAGGUGGGGGGCUGGGGCCAUAUAUAGCAGCAUGUAUAAUGAACACUUGGGCCAACCAUGUACACGCAUAAGUUGCACUUAAUUUCCACAAUUGAGUGUUCCUUUUGUUUCCACAAAUAAAAUAUAUUAAUUACUAAUACAAAUUUUAAUAGAUCUAAUUAGUUGUUAAUUGUUUUCUUGUACUAUAGUUUUUUUUUUUUUUGAAAGGAAAAUAAAGACCUAAGAACAUUAUAAAAGAACCAGCAUAUUAAUAGUGUCCCUAUUAAAACCUUCUCAAAUAAACCACAUGGAAAAAAAUCCCCAAGAGAGGAAUACCACACAUACAACAAACUAACAAAAGAGUCUAGAAACAUAGAAUAGUCACCUCUAAAACAAUUCUACCCUACUAACAAACACAAACUAAGGAAACCCAUUAAAAGAGCACACCAAUGCCUAUUUAGUUCUGUCAAAGAAGGCUUCCUAUGUAAACAUAGUCCUUUGUACAGCAUGAGAUUUGUCCAACAUGCAAUGAGUCAGAACCAAUGAAGCACCAAAACAAAAAAAUCACAGGAAAAAAGCACAAAUAACAAACUAAAGCUAAGAGAAACUUAGCAAAAGAGCACACCAACGCCUCUCAGGUUCUAUCAAAGAAGGCCUCCUAUGAAAACAUAGUCCUUUGUACAACGCGAAAAUUAUUCAGCAUGCAAUGGGCUACCAAUGAAACAUCAGAACGUACAAAUCACAUGAACAAAACAUAAAGUACAUAAGAGGUACUGUGAAACAUCAAAAGCCAUCUCCUAGUUUCUUGAUCCAAAACCCAAACGGAAAAGAAGGGAAGACCAAGACUAGCCAAUAAAUUUCAGAAGAAAAAUCUUCAGAGCAGGAACAUUUAUCGGUUACCAAGCCUACGAACUAUUGAAACAAAAAAAAUUCGGCCAAAUGCAUUUAUCAUUUAUUUCAAAUAAAAAAAAUUAAAUGAUAAAUGCAAGCCAACAUAUGCUCUUAAAAUUUUGGGAUGCGUGUUAAUUUUUUCAAAUUGGUGAGAUAAUAGGCCUAAAAGGGAGGCUGAAUCUGAUAAGCAUUGAUUUGAAAUUCAAAAGUAUUAUUUGAUCAAGGGAGUCUUAUCUAGUUGGCCUAUAAAAAGGCUACAUCAUAAGAAGAAAAAAAAAUCAAAACAAAAAAAAAGGAGAAAGGAGACGAUAAAUCAAAAAAGACUGCGGGAGAAAUUAGGGUAGUGCAAAGAAGAGAGAAAAGUUUCUACUGGCAUUCUGUCAUUUUUAUUUUUCUUUUCUAUGUUGGGCAUAGCAUGCCACAAAUCUAUGGGUGAGAAACCCUGAAAUUAUACGGAUGAAAAUCCAUAGGUGAGAAACCCUGAAAUUUUUUGGAUGAAAAUCCAUGGGUGGGCAACCCUAAAAUUAUUUGGAUGUAAAAAUCCAUGGGUGAGAAAUCCCGAAAUUAUUUGGAUGUAAAAAUCCAUGGGCCCCGAAAUUAUUUGAAUGUAAAAAUCCAUACGGGUUAGAAACCCCGAAAUUAUUUGGAUGAAAAUCCACAAGUGAGUAACCCUGAAAUUAUUUGGAUGUAAAAAUCCAUAUGAGUGAGAAACCCAGAAUCCCUGCAGAUAAAAAUCUGGAAAAUGAGUUCACAUAUGCAACAAACAAAAAAGGCAGCAAGUGAAAAAAUAAAUAAAUAAAUAAAUAAUUGGAAUUAAUGGGCUAUGCUAGUUCGCAUACAAACAGAACCCGGAAGGUUAAAAAAGGAUUCCACGAAAAGGAAAGACGGCUUGAAAGAGGGAGGCCACGCUACAGACUUUGGAAUUGCGUUUUGUUUGUGAAAAUAGGCAAGACAAAAGCAUGGGUGGCUGGUGCGUGAUUUAAAAAAUAUAUGGAAAAGUUGAGGAAGACAACCAUGCUGGCCUUGACUUGGUCUGUUCAGAUAGAGGCAGCAAAUUUAUAAUAAAAAAAAAAAAAAACCAAAGGAAAGUGGCGUUGAAAAGAAAGAAAGGAAAAAAAAGAAAAGACAAAAAAAAAGAAAAAAAGAAGAGGGUGGCCGACGCCAUUUUGAUGGAGACAAAAAAAAAGAAAAAAAGAAGAGGGUGGCCGACGCCACUUUGAUGGAGAUUGGGAGAAAAGUCAAAAGAAAAACAGGGAGCUGGUGUUGUUAGUAGGGGUGGGCGCGGUCCGGUUCGGUCCGGUUCUCACUUCAAACCGGAAUCGAAACCGGUACUAUUUAACCGGUCCGGUUCGGUCCGGUUUAAGCAAAAAAAAUUUCAAAAACCGGCCGGUCCGGUUCUAACCGGUUCCGGUCCGGUUCUGACCGGUUCCGGUUUUGAACCGGAUUAUUAAUUUUUAAUUUUUUUUUAUUUUUUAAAAAAAAAAAUUUUUUUUAAAUUUUUUUAAUAAAAAAUUUAUAAUAAAUAACUUAUUUUUUUAGCUUAAAAAUGAACAAAUAAUCCAAUUCAUACAUUUAGAAAAUUUUUGAAGUUGAACUUGGAAAAUUAGUGAUUAUAAAAGUUAAAAUAUGGCAUUAGAUUUUAAAAUUUUGUAAAAAUAUAAAUAUAAAAUAUAUGACCGGUCCGGUUCGGUCCGGUCCGGUGCGGAGAGAUGUAAAACCGGAACCGGAACCGGUUGGAACCGGUUCGGUCCGGUUCCGGUCCGGUUUGUUGACUUUUUUGGUCAACCGGUUUUUUUUCCGGUUUUUUUCCACCGGUUCGGUUCGGUUUUCCGGUUUUCCGGUCCCGAUGCCCACCCCUAGUUGUUAGAGACCAACAUGGAAAAGUAAAAAUAAAAAAGUAUAGCACCUUUACUCAAUUCUCUCCCCCAAGCAGAUCGUACAGCCCCUUUGGAAUUUUCAGGUGUAAUUGUUCUCUAAUUUUAUAAAGGCUAUACUUACUUCACACGCCAAUUCCAUUGUCUCUAAUUUUUGAAGUUCCAAUUGGAGUAUGAUUGAUCACCCAAAGAUUAAUGGGCUGUUAAUUCUUAAAAGUCCAAAAUAUUUAAUGGAUGAUAUAAAUAAUUACCCAUUAAAUUUAUAGAAGCUUAAAUUUCUUAUUAUAUGAUUAAUGGAUAGUUAAUAAAAUUCUUAUAACUAUAUUUGGGUCCAAAUGCAAAUGUCAAUUGUAGAAAAUUAAUGGGUUCAUCAAAUUGCUCAUUAUUUUUCUGGGACAUUGACA
This 3354-nucleotide long non-coding RNA is filed under the name Prunus persica (peach). Its description in RNAcentral is "long non-coding RNA (PPER_LNC006226)". The record is from RNAcentral. Lineage: Eukaryota; Viridiplantae; Streptophyta; Magnoliopsida; Rosales; Rosaceae.